GGGGGGGGGGGGGGGGGGGCGGGGGGGGGGGGGGGGGGGCGGGGGGGCGCGUUGGGGGUGGUGGGGGGGAAGGUGAGUGGGUUAGUGGCGGACGGGGGAGGAGCGCGUGAGUAACCUGCCUGACACGAGGGGAUAGCCUCUGGAAACGGAGAAUAAUACCCUGUGAAACCAGACAAUCGCAUGAUAAUCUGGUCAAAAUGUUUAGUGGUGUAAGAUGGACUUGCGUCUGAUUAGCUAGUUGGUGAGAUAAAAGCUCACCAAGGCAACGAUCAGUAGCCGGCUGGAGAGAGUGUACGGCCACAUUGGGACUGAGACACGGCCCAGACUCCUACGGGAGGCAGCAGUGGGGAAUUUUGCACAAUGGGGGAAACCCUGAUGCAGCGCCGCCGCGUGAUUUAGAAGGCCUUCGGGUUGUAAAAAUCUUUUGUAUAGGAAGAAAAUGACAGUACUAUACGAAUAAGGUCCGGCUAAUUACGUG
RNAcentral lists this ribosomal RNA (478 nucleotides) under uncultured bacterium. RNAcentral describes it as "partial 16S ribosomal RNA". It matches the Rfam family "Bacterial small subunit ribosomal RNA", at positions 38 to 507 of the family's 1533-position model. The record is from RNAcentral.